RNAcentral lists this ribosomal RNA (2904 nucleotides) under Klebsiella pneumoniae. RNAcentral describes it as "23S ribosomal RNA". It matches the Rfam family "Bacterial large subunit ribosomal RNA". The record is from RNAcentral. Lineage: Bacteria; Pseudomonadati; Pseudomonadota; Gammaproteobacteria; Enterobacterales; Enterobacteriaceae.
GGUUAAGCGACUAAGCGUACACGGUGGAUGCCCUGGCAGUCAGAGGCGAUGAAGGACGUGCUAAUCUGCGAAAAGCGUCGGUAAGGUGAUAUGAACCGUUAUAACCGGCGAUGUCCGAAUGGGGAAACCCAGUGCAAUUCGUUGCACUAUCGUUAACUGAAUACAUAGGUUAACGAGGCGAACCGGGGGAACUGAAACAUCUAAGUACCCCGAGGAAAAGAAAUCAACCGAGAUUCCCCCAGUAGCGGCGAGCGAACGGGGAGCAGCCCAGAGUCUGAAUCAGCUUGUGUGUUAGUGGAACGGUCUGGAAAGUCCGACGGUACAGGGUGAUAGUCCCGUACACCAAAAUGCACAGGCUGUGAACUCGAAGAGUAGGGCGGGACACGUGGUAUCCUGUCUGAAUAUGGGGGGACCAUCCUCCAAGGCUAAAUACUCCUGACUGACCGAUAGUGAACCAGUACCGUGAGGGAAAGGCGAAAAGAACCCCGGCGAGGGGAGUGAAAAAGAACCUGAAACCGUGUACGUACAAGCAGUGGGAGCACCUUCGGGUGUGACUGCGUACCUUUUGUAUAAUGGGUCAGCGACUUAUAUUCUGUAGCAAGGUUAACCGUAUAGGGGAGCCGCAGGGAAACCGAGUCUUAACUGGGCGUUAAGUUGCAGGGUAUAGACCCGAAACCCGGUGAUCUAGCCAUGGGCAGGUUGAAGGUUGGGUAACACUAACUGGAGGACCGAACCGACUAAUGUUGAAAAAUUAGCGGAUGACUUGUGGCUGGGGGUGAAAGGCCAAUCAAACCGGGAGAUAGCUGGUUCUCCCCGAAAGCUAUUUAGGUAGCGCCUCGUGAACUCAUCUUCGGGGGUAGAGCACUGUUUCGGCUAGGGGGUCAUCCCGACUUACCAACCCGAUGCAAACUACGAAUACCGAAGAAUGUUAUCACGGGAGACACACGGCGGGUGCUAACGUCCGUCGUGAAGAGGGAAACAACCCAGACCGCCAGCUAAGGUCCCAAAGUCAUGGUUAAGUGGGAAACGAUGUGGGAAGGCACAGACAGCCAGGAUGUUGGCUUAGAAGCAGCCAUCAUUUAAAGAAAGCGUAAUAGCUCACUGGUCGAGUCGGCCUGCGCGGAAGAUGUAACGGGGCUAAACCAUGCACCGAAGCUGCGGCAGCGACACUAUGUGUUGUUGGGUAGGGGAGCGUUCUGUAAGCCUGCGAAGGUGUGCUGUGAGGCAUGCUGGAGGUAUCAGAAGUGCGAAUGCUGACAUAAGUAACGAUAAAGCGGGUGAAAAGCCCGCUCGCCGGAAGACCAAGGGUUCCUGUCCAACGUUAAUCGGGGCAGGGUGAGUCGACCCCUAAGGCGAGGCCGAAAGGCGUAGUCGAUGGGAAACAGGUUAAUAUUCCUGUACUUGGUGUUACUGCGAAGGGGGGACGGAGAAGGCUAUGUUAGCCGGGCGACGGUUGUCCCGGUUUAAGCAUGUAGGCUGGUUAUCCAGGCAAAUCCGGAUAAUCAAGGCUGAGGUGUGAUGACGAGGCACUACGGUGCUGAAGUAACAAAUGCCCUGCUUCCAGGAAAAGCCUCUAAGCAUCAGGUAACAUCAAAUCGUACCCCAAACCGACACAGGUGGUCAGGUAGAGAAUACCAAGGCGCUUGAGAGAACUCGGGUGAAGGAACUAGGCAAAAUGGUGCCGUAACUUCGGGAGAAGGCACGCUGGUGUGUAGGUGAAGUCCCUGCGGAUGGAGCUGAGACCAGUCGAAGAUACCAGCUGGCUGCAACUGUUUAUUAAAAACACAGCACUGUGCAAACACGAAAGUGGACGUAUACGGUGUGACGCCUGCCCGGUGCCGGAAGGUUAAUUGAUGGGGUUAUCCGUAAGGAGAAGCUCUUGAUCGAAGCCCCGGUAAACGGCGGCCGUAACUAUAACGGUCCUAAGGUAGCGAAAUUCCUUGUCGGGUAAGUUCCGACCUGCACGAAUGGCGUAAUGAUGGCCAGGCUGUCUCCACCCGAGACUCAGUGAAAUUGAACUCGCUGUGAAGAUGCAGUGUACCCGCGGCAAGACGGAAAGACCCCGUGAACCUUUACUAUAGCUUGACACUGAACAUUGAGCCUUGAUGUGUAGGAUAGGUGGGAGGCUUUGAAGCGUGGACGCCAGUCUGCGUGGAGCCAACCUUGAAAUACCACCCUUUAAUGUUUGAUGUUCUAACGUUGGCCCCUGACCGGGGUUGCGGACAGUGUCUGGUGGGUAGUUUGACUGGGGCGGUCUCCUCCCAAAGCGUAACGGAGGAGCACGAAGGUUAGCUAAUCCUGGUCGGACAUCAGGAGGUUAGUGCAAUGGCAUAAGCUAGCUUGACUGCGAGCGUGACGGCGCGAGCAGGUGCGAAAAAGCAGGUCAUAGUGAUCCGGUGGUUCUGAAUGGAAGGGCCAUCGCUCAACGGAUAAAAGGUACUCCGGGGAUAACAGGCUGAUACCGCCCAAGAGUUCAUAUCGACGGCGGUGUUUGGCACCUCGAUGUCGGCUCAUCACAUCCUGGGGCUGAAGUAGGUCCCAAGGGUAUGGCUGUUCGCCAUUUAAAGUGGUACGCGAGCUGGGUUUAGAACGUCGUGAGACAGUUCGGUCCCUAUCUGCCGUGGGCGCUGGAGAAUUGAGGGGGGCUGCUCCUAGUACGAGAGGACCGGAGUGGACGCAUCACUGGUGUUCGGGUUGUCAUGCCAAUGGCACUGCCCGGUAGCUAAAUGCGGAAGAGAUAAGUGCUGAAAGCAUCUAAGCACGAAACUUGCCCCGAGAUGAGUUCUCCCUGAGACUUUAAGUCUCCUGAAGGAACGUUGAAGACGACGACGUUGAUAGGCCGGGUGUGUAAGCGCAGCGAUGCGUUGAGCUAACCGGUACUAAUGAACCGUGAGGCUUAACCUU